This 402-nucleotide RNase P RNA is filed under the name Muribaculaceae bacterium. RNAcentral's name for it is "RNase P RNA component class A". It matches the Rfam family "Bacterial RNase P class A". Rfam says of the family: Ribonuclease P (RNase P) is a ubiquitous endoribonuclease, found in archaea, bacteria and eukarya as well as chloroplasts and mitochondria. Its best characterised activity is the generation of mature 5'-ends of tRNAs by cleaving the 5'-leader elements of precursor-tRNAs. The record is from RNAcentral. Lineage: Bacteria; Pseudomonadati; Bacteroidota; Bacteroidia; Bacteroidales; Muribaculaceae.
GCAGCCGGGCGGUCCGUCGCGGUCCUCACGGGCCAAGGCCCGGCGGGGGCUGAGGAAAGUCCGGGCAACGCAGAGCACCAUACUUUCUAACGGAAAGCCGCGGGCGACCGCAGAGACAACGUGACAGAAAACAACCGCCCUCCCCUUUCAGCGGGGAGAGCAAGGGUGAAAAGGCGGGGUAAGAGCCCACCGGGCGCCACCGCGAGAUGGCGUGCCGCACGUCUUAUGGGUUGCAAGGUCAAGUAUACCGGCAUCUAAGGGCUGCUCGUCCAUUGCCGGGGGGUAGACUGCAGCGGAGCUGAAGCUACGUCAGCGUCCGUGGCAACACGGCGCGAAGAUAAAUGACGGACAGCGUCUCCCUUUGAGGCGCCACAUAACCCGGCUUACACCCCGACUGCCUCU